This 253-nucleotide ribosomal RNA is filed under the name uncultured bacterium. RNAcentral's name for it is "partial 16S ribosomal RNA". It matches the Rfam family "Bacterial small subunit ribosomal RNA", at positions 524 to 776 of the family's 1533-position model. The record is from RNAcentral.
UACGUAGGGGCCAAGCGUUGUCCGGAGUUACUGGGCGUAAAGCGUGCGCAGGCGGCUCGUUGCGCCCGACGUGAAAGCCCCCGGCUCAACCGGGGAGGGUCGUCGGGGACGGGCGAGCUUGAGGGUGGCAGGGGCUGGUGGAACUCCCGGUGUAGUGGUGAAAUGCGUAGAGAUCGGGAAGAACACCCGUGGCGAAGGCGGCCAGCUGGGCCACACCUGACGCUGAGGCACGAAGGCGUGGGGAGCGAACGGG